RNAcentral lists this ribosomal RNA (216 nucleotides) under uncultured bacterium. Its description in RNAcentral is "partial 16S ribosomal RNA". It matches the Rfam family "Bacterial small subunit ribosomal RNA", at positions 588 to 803 of the family's 1533-position model. The record is from RNAcentral.
CCGGGGGUCGAAGCGGGGGGCUCAACCCCCCGAAGCCCCCGGAACCUCCGCGGCUUGGGUCCGGUAGGGGAGGGUGGAACACCCGGUGUAGCGGUGGAAUGCGCAGAUAUCGGGUGGAACACCGGUGGCGAAGGCGGCCCUCUGGGCCGAGACCGACGCUGAGGCGCGAAAGCUGGGGGAGCGAACAGGAUUAGAUACCCUGGUAGUCCCAGCCGU